RNAcentral lists this long non-coding RNA (1166 nucleotides) under Ananas comosus (pineapple). RNAcentral's name for it is "long non-coding RNA (ACOM_LNC000050)". Lineage: Eukaryota; Viridiplantae; Streptophyta; Magnoliopsida; Poales; Bromeliaceae. The record is from RNAcentral.
UUUGAAUUUAAAUUAAUAUAUUAUAAAGAUAAUGUUAGUAUAUUAAUUUGAUUACAUUUUUUAUAUCCACCUGAACCAAACACCGACAAUGGAAAUGAUUUAUUCUGAUUUCGAUUCAGGUGAUGAACCAAACAGAAUUAGGUAAUGAGUCAUUCCGAUUCCGAUUCCAACUUAUUUUGAUUCCGAUUCCGAUUUCGAUUCCGACUUCGAACCAAACGCGCCCCUAGAGUUAAAAUCUGUUAAUUAACUCUGUUAUCUCUGUAAAAUUACUAUUUUGCCAUUUCAAAUAUACCCUUCCACUAUCACUGACUUUUUUAUUUGUCCUUAAAGUCUGUUAAAAUCUGUUAAUUAACUCUAUUAUCUAUGUAAAAUUACUAUUUUGCCCUUUCAAAUAUACCCUUCCACUAUCACUGACUUUCUUAUUUGUCUUUAAAGUUGUUAAAAUUUGUUAAUUAACUCUGUUAUCUCUGUAAAAUUACUAUUUUGCCCUUUCAAAUAUACCCUUCCACUAUCACCGACUUUCUUAUUUGUCCUUAAAGUCAGGGGCAUUUUGACUUUUGGUCUUUUCCAAUAUGCCCCUUUACCGUCACCAACACUUCUUAUUUGCUCUUAAGUUAAGAGCAAAAUUGGUAUUUUAAUUUUUUUAACUGUGGUAGAUAUUUAACUCACGUUUAGCCCAAGUUAACUUAACAGGAGAUAACUGUGGGGGUAUUUUGUAAUAACAGUGGAACAUAUGAGGGAUAUUUUAGAAAGAAAAAAAAGAAUAAAUUAGAUAUUUUCAAACGUAUGAGAAGUAUAUAGGCAAUUAUCCAUAAAAUCAAUAGAUAAGAUAGUAUAUAGAUGAAUAUUCACCUAUUAUAUCAUGCAGAUAUUUAAUCCAUUAAAUGUUGAAAGUGAAAAUUGAACUCAUGAUCUUACAAAAUGAGAAGUUGCGCUCACACGAGAUGGAGAUUUAACUUAUUAUAUAAUACAAAAAAUUAACCUAUUAAAUAUUAAAGUUAGGGAUUUAACUCAUGAUCUCACAGAACAAAAAAAAUUUGGAAUUAAUUCAAAUACCAUAUUAACUAAAAGAUCGAAGUAGCGGUCUCAACUAGAAGUGUGAAAUAACUAGAUUUCAAAUUUGAAAUCUCGGAUACCAAUUAUCCCUUAAUUAGUUAUGCUAGAUA